AUCUAAAUCACUUAUCGAGGAACAAUUGGAGGGCAAGUCUGGUGCCAGCAGCCGCGGUAAUUCCAGCUCCAAUAGCGUAUAUUAAAGUUGUUGCAGUUAAAAAGCUCGUAGUUGAAUUUCUGAUUAUGAAUGUACUGGGUAACCGGUCCAUUUAUAGUCAUCCACAUGAGAACCUUUCUCGGCCUUCACUGGUCGGUUGGGGGAUCAUGUACUUUACUUUGAAAAAAUCAGAGUGUUUCAGGCAGGCGUUUGCAUGAAUACACAAGCAUGGAAUAAUGGAAUAGGACUAGGGGUCCAUUUUAUUGGUUAUUGGACCAUAGUAAUGAUUAAUAGGGACAGUUGGGGGCAUUAGUAUUUAAUUGUCAGAGGUGAAAUUCUUGGAUUUAUUAAAGACUAACUUAUGCGAAAGCAUUUGCCAAGGAUGUUUUCAUUAAUCAAGAACGAAAGUUAGGGGAUCAAAGACGAUCAGAUACCGUCCUAGUCUUAACUAUAAACUA
Molecule: ribosomal RNA, 497 nt
Filed under: uncultured eukaryote
Lineage: Eukaryota
Description: SSU rRNA
Rfam family: Eukaryotic small subunit ribosomal RNA
Source: RNAcentral